Molecule: ribosomal RNA, 482 nt
Filed under: uncultured bacterium
Lineage: Bacteria
Description: partial 16S ribosomal RNA
Rfam family: Bacterial small subunit ribosomal RNA
Source: RNAcentral
ACUCAAAUGAAUUGACGGGGACCCGCACAAGCAGCGGAGCGUGUGGUUUAAUUCGAAGCAACGCGAAGAACCUUACCAGGGUUUGACAUGCUAUCGCACCACCCCCAAAAGGGUGUCCCUUCGGGGCGGUAGCACAGGUGCUGCAUGGCUGUCGUCAGCUCGUGUCGUGAGAUGUUGGGUUAAGUCCCGCAACGAGCGCAACCCCCAUUCUCGGUUACUGGUGUCCGAGGAGACUGCCGCGAUCAACGUGGAGGAAGGCGGGGAUGACGUCAAGUCAGCACGGCCCUUACAUCCUGGGCGACACACACGCUACAAUGGCCGGUACAAUGGGUCGCCAACCCGCGAGGGGGAGCCAAUCCUACAAAACCGGUCUCAGUUCAGAUUGGAGGCUGCAACCCGCCUCCAUGAAGUUGGAGUUGCUAGUAACCGUAGGUCAGCACACUACGGUGAAUACGUUCCCGGGUCUUGCACACACCGCCCGU